This 72-nucleotide transfer RNA is filed under the name Camelus bactrianus (Bactrian camel). It matches the Rfam family "tRNA". From Rfam's summary of the family: Transfer RNA (tRNA) molecules are approximately 80 nucleotides in length. Their secondary structure includes four short double-helical elements and three loops (D, anti-codon, and T loops). Further hydrogen bonds mediate the characteristic L-shaped molecular structure. tRNAs have two regions of fundamental functional importance: the anti-codon, which is responsible for specific mRNA codon recognition, and the 3' end, to which the tRNAs corresponding amino acid is attached (by aminoacyl-tRNA synthetases). tRNAs cope with the degeneracy of the genetic code in two manners: having more than one tRNA (with a specific anti-codon) for a particular amino acid; and 'wobble' base-pairing, i.e. permitting non-standard base-pairing at the 3rd anti-codon position. The record is from Rfam by way of RNAcentral. Lineage: Eukaryota; Metazoa; Chordata; Mammalia; Artiodactyla; Camelidae. RNAcentral also lists the same sequence under 1 other name.
GAAGGUAUAACUCAGAGGUAGAGUGUGUGUUUAAAAUGCACAAGAUCCUGGGCUCAAUCUCCAGUACCUCCA